RNAcentral lists this non-coding RNA (29 nucleotides) under Mus musculus (house mouse). The record is from RNAcentral. Lineage: Eukaryota; Metazoa; Chordata; Mammalia; Rodentia; Muridae.
UGCCUGGGUGUUAAUAUUGAGUGAGUUGA